GACGAACGCUGGCGGCGUGCUUAACACAUGCAAGUCGAACGGAAAGGCCCUGCUUUUGUGGGGUGCUCGAGUGGCGAACGGGUGAGUAACACGUGAGUAACCUGCCCUUGACUUUGGGAUAACUUCAGGAAACUGGGGCUAAUACCGGAUAUGAGCUCCUGCUGCAUGGUGUUGGUUGGAAAGUUUCGGCGGUUGGGGAUGGACUCGCGGCUUAUCAGCUUGUUGGUGGGGUAGUGGCUUACCAAGGCUUUGACGGGUAGCCGGCCUGAGGGGGUGACCGGCCACAUUGGGACUGAGAUACGGCCCAGACUCCUACGGGAGGCAGCAGUGGGGAAUAUUGCACAAUGGGCGGAAGCCUGAUGCAGCAACGCCGCGUGCGGGAUGACGGCCUUCGGGUUGUAAACCGCUUUCGCCUGUGACGAAGCGUGAGUGACGGUAAUGGGUAAAGAAGCACCGGCUAACUACGUG
RNAcentral lists this ribosomal RNA (468 nucleotides) under uncultured bacterium. RNAcentral describes it as "partial 16S ribosomal RNA". It matches the Rfam family "Bacterial small subunit ribosomal RNA", at positions 28 to 507 of the family's 1533-position model. The record is from RNAcentral.